Molecule: ribosomal RNA, 134 nt
Organism: Bison bison bison
Lineage: Eukaryota; Metazoa; Chordata; Mammalia; Artiodactyla; Bovidae
Source: Ensembl
UACGGCCAUAGCAACCGCCCGAUCUCAUCCGAUCUCGGAAGCUAAGCAGGGUCGGGCCUGGUUAGUACUUGGAUGGGAGAGAUGAGACACAGAUACAUCAUUUGAAAGACAAGGAACCACCAGGCUGGCAGUAA